RNAcentral lists this long non-coding RNA (695 nucleotides) under Zonotrichia albicollis (white-throated sparrow). RNAcentral's name for it is "lncRNA (ENSZALG00000018101.1)". Lineage: Eukaryota; Metazoa; Chordata; Aves; Passeriformes; Passerellidae. The record is from RNAcentral.
ACAUGCUCUCAUGUUUUGAAUGUGCUGUUUUUCCCAUUUGCUGAAGAAGCCAACUUUGUUGAUACUAAGAAAAGAAACGAGUAGCUCAAGCCUCCCUUUAGGCUGAAUGCAGGUAUAGUUAAUGCAGGAAUACAUUCAAUGGAUAGUGUUUGUCUAAAACUAAAAAAAGAAAAAAAUCCCCCAGAACGCUGUACAUGAGCACUAGGAAAGAAAUCUGCAUGGAUGACUCUUCCUAAGAGCUGCAAAUAUUGUAGGGACUGGUGAGAAGAGGACUGGAGGAUAUAACAUGAACUGCCUACAUCAAUCUAAAGCCUGGAAAGUUUUUAAUGGUUUUAAUGUGAAAACACUCCUGUUGUGAGGCCCUAAAGAACUCCUCCUAGAAAAGUGCAACCAAAGAAUAACCAAAAAUGAUGAUAAUUCAAUGUGAUGUAAGCAAUGCCACAGUUGAAGACUGCUCUCCAGAAGAGACCAAAAUCACAGCAGUGUUUGCUAACAAGGCUAUAACUUCACAUGAUUGGCACUGUAGUUUUGAGGAAAUUUCAACAUGUUGGUCAUUUCACAAGAAAUUGCAAGUAGUUUUGUUAGGUAAAUGUUGAUCAUUUGACAGAAGUUAGAUAGCAAUAUCUAUUCAGUAUUCAGUGUUGCACUAGAGAAGACAUUUAUGCUAUAAUAAAACAAUGUAAUUCUGAUAACCA